Molecule: ribosomal RNA, 253 nt
Filed under: uncultured bacterium
Lineage: Bacteria
Description: partial 16S ribosomal RNA
Rfam family: Bacterial small subunit ribosomal RNA
Source: RNAcentral
UACGGAGGGGGCAAGCGUUGUUCGGAAUCAUUGGGCGUAAAGGGCGCGUAGGCGGCCUGUCAAGUCGGAUGUGAAAUCCCUCGGCUCAACCGAGGAACCGCACUCGAUACUGGCGGGCUAGAGUCCGGGAGGGGAUGGUGGAAUUCCCAGUGUAGCGGUGAAAUGCGUAGAUAUUGGGAAGAACACCGGUGGCGAAGGCGGCCAUCUGGACCGGAACUGACGCUGAGGCGCGAAAGCUAGGGGAGCGAAUGGG